This 309-nucleotide ribosomal RNA is filed under the name uncultured soil bacterium. RNAcentral's name for it is "bacterial SSU rRNA". It matches the Rfam family "Bacterial small subunit ribosomal RNA", at positions 26 to 332 of the family's 1533-position model. The record is from RNAcentral.
AGAACGAACGCUGGCGGCGUGGAUUAGGCAUGCAAGUCGAGCGCGAAAGGGGAGCAAUCCCCGAGUAGAGCGGCGAACUGGUGAGCAACAGGUGGGUAACGUACCCCGAAGCGGGGGAUAACCAAGGGAAACUUUGGCUAAUACCGCAUGUGGUCUAGGGAGCUUCGGCUUCUUCGACUAAAGCAGCAAUGCACUUUGGGAUCCGGCCCGCCCCGAUUAGCUAGUUGGUGAGGUAAUGGCUUACCAAGGCUGCGAUCGGUAGCUGGUCUGAGAGGAUGGUCAGCCACACUGGGACUGAGACUACGGCCC